Molecule: ribosomal RNA, 126 nt
Filed under: Gemmatimonadota bacterium
Lineage: Bacteria; Pseudomonadati; Gemmatimonadota
Description: partial 23S ribosomal RNA
Rfam family: Bacterial large subunit ribosomal RNA
Source: RNAcentral
GGAAUACUCCCAGAGUCUUCGGACUCUCGGAAGGGCCGUACGAGACGAGUACGUUGAUAGGCAGCAGGUGGAAGUGUGGCAACACAUGGAGCCGAGCUGUACUAAUCGCCCGUGAGGCUUGACCAG